UUACUUGAUGACUUAUAAUGCAAUUUUUGUCUCCAAUUUUAUAAAAUUUUAAAAACUACCAACAACUUUAGCUAAAGUAACGCAAAAUAAACUCACGUCGCAGAAAAUUACUUUUAAAAAAGUUACACUUGAAGGACAACAUCCAUUGUGAGAAACCGAAGCCGAGAUUCUCAUUUAAAUUGGUUUAUCAUUUACUAAAUGUAUGUCAAGUCAAAUUUUGGAAACCAGAAUAGGAAAUACAUUGAUUGCAUUGGUUUAUGUGAAAGGGCCCAAAAAUCCUAGCUGCGCAACUGACGAGUAAGGAACAUUUUAUCAUUCAAAUAAGCUAUACUCUUAUGCAAAGCUUAUAUUUAUGUUGUCAAUUCUUAUACUGCUUUUUGAUUUGGACGUUUUAAUCAAUGUAUAACAAUAAUUUAAUAAAAUUCAUCAAAAAAUA
Molecule: long non-coding RNA, 436 nt
Organism: Hydra vulgaris (swiftwater hydra)
Lineage: Eukaryota; Metazoa; Cnidaria; Hydrozoa; Anthoathecata; Hydridae
Source: RefSeq, a predicted model, not a curated record